Molecule: non-coding RNA, 3939 nt
Organism: Misgurnus anguillicaudatus (oriental weatherfish)
Lineage: Eukaryota; Metazoa; Chordata; Actinopteri; Cypriniformes; Cobitidae
Source: RefSeq, a predicted model, not a curated record
UAAGAUAUACCCAAGGCAGUUCGUGUAAUUUAAUUGAUUCGUGUCCAUGGACACGAUUUUCCCCUUUUUUUCGUGCCAGUCAGAACGACUUUCAAUCUAAUGUAUUUCAAUAGGAAGUAUUUUUCGUGCCUGCACCACGUUUUUUUGUCCUAUUAUUUUUUUCGUGUUUAUAAGCACGAAUUUAAUCUAAUGUAUUGCAAUAGUAUAUACCAGGGAUUGUUUUACUUUAUUUGUCAUUAAUUGAUUACACUUUAAGCGCUACUUUACUCAACAUUUAAUCAGGAGAUGUUUAUCCUAUAAUAUUGAUUUUUUGAUCGGUUUCGUGUGUCAAAUACAAGAAUUAAUACUACAGUACCCAUGAGCCUUAUCGACAUCUACUAUGGUGAAGGCACCAGCUAAAACUACAUGUGGGCCCGCUGCAGAUCACAAUAUUUUCUCAACACAUGAAUACUAACGUGUGCUUGAUAAUUCAACAAUACGAUGUUAUGGCCAUCAAUUUUGAUUGUUUCUACUUUGAUUGUAAAAAAAAAAAUAAGUCAGUUUCGGACGCCUGCAUUUCCCAGAAUCCUCUCUGCCUUCGUUGCUAUGGAAUCUGAGCCAGUCCUCUUUGCUAUUGGGUGAUUUCUUCUUCGGUACUCGUAAUUGACAGGGAUUCUCUCAUACGCGAAAAUCAUUGUCCAGGUAAGUCACGAUGCUUUCGUUUAAAGUUCACUAUUUGUUUAAAUGUUAUAAUUCACGCCUUUCUUUUGGCAUUACGCUGACAUUGCCAUAGCCGUACGAAAAUUAACCAUGUUUUUGUGGUAAAAGUGUAGUAACUACGGUUUGUGUAUCGAUUAUUUGCAAAAUGGUUUUACUAAACCAAACAUGGUUUAACUUUUUUUUUUCAAAUUCAUGGUUCUUUCUUAACUUGCAACCUAUCUCUAUAUAUACUGCAUCUGUUGUACCUGUCUGUCCAGCUGUGUGUUUGUCUUUCUGUCUUUGUCUGCUUUGCAAUGGCCACCAGAUAUACCCCUCACAAACAGGAUCCCCACUACCAAGAGGGGAGGCUCAUGGCUCUUGAGCUGAACCAUGACCACAUUCUAGCUGAAGCCAAGAGCAGCUGUGGAGACGAAAUGUUUAUGCCCUAGAAGAGACCCUUCACAGACCUCUAAAAGGAUCUUUGUUGGCUGGGGCAAGCCGAGGGGGAGGCAAGGAGGGUGACGCCAAGCCUCAGCUACAGGUCACUUUUACAGGUUGAGUGCUUCCUGUCAUCCAGUGUGGAGUUUCCACUUAACUGUACCCUCAGCAAAACUAAAUCCUCAUGAGGAAUUUGGUGCAGAGAGUGGUUCUGUGGGGACCGUGAUGUAUUACGUCACAAAAAACAGCCACUCCCCAAUAGGGAAUGUGUAAUUAAUAGUUUUUUUGUAGCCAUCCGUCCAACCAAAUGCAUCAUUAAAGGGGAAGAUGGAUAUUGCACUCAACACAAGGUAUGUUCUCAAAAAAGCCCUAAUUUUGAUGUUUUUAUGUGUCUGCAGCCAGUAACAGGUAAUCUAAACUAGUGGUUUUCUUUCUUUUUGGCAGUCGGCAAGAUGACAUACCACUGUUGUAAACGCACAAACGGCGUUUUGACUUGCCUCAGCCACUGUAUGUCUGUUAAACAUGCAAACAGCAAAGGACCCCAGACCUGAAAGACCUUCUGAGGAGUGGAUAUUGGCCAGCUUCAAUAAACAACACCACACUUUACACACUGGACCUCCUGAUCUCCUUUCAAGAACUCAAGGUCAUCUCUCCAAGAUUUUCCAGACAAGCCUUCGCAAAGCUGCUGGAGCAUCGCACGAAGUGUGGAGGAAGAUUUGGAUAUAUCAACGGCGAUGCACUGCAAUGCAGCUUCUUGGAGUUUUCAUACGCUUCAUUUGAAUCAGACCAGCUCUGGUGUGGUGCUCCUUUCACCUGCCCAGCCUGAACGCUAGAAUUGUUGGCUGCUUCAGCAGAUCGAAACAGAAAGCUAUAUCGCUUUUGCCGAAACAGAAGACUGUGGCUUGCAAAUAUUGGCCAUACUUGAAGAAAGUUGCUAGUGUCCUUCCUGAUCUUCAGGAGCUGACCUCAAUGAAACCUUUCCUUAAUGUCAUGCAUGCUUGAGCCACGCUACAACGUGUGAGAUUAAAUGAAGUGGUAGGAACCAGGAAGGAACAGGGACAACCACCGGUGAGUGGAGCAAGUGAACAGCUACCUUUCACGUUGUGCCCGUACAACCAAAUAUAUGUCCAAAGCAGCACGGGUGGACAUGCUUACAUUGCAUGCAAUGGGCUGGAACCAUAAAAAAGUAUCUCUCUACAUCAGGCACUUUCCACAAUAUAUGUGAAAACAUCCAGCACGAGACUGCAAAGCUAGCAGAACUAAAAACAAAGCUACAUUGCAAAGAUGAAGUGCCGUCACAAUGGCUUUCUGAUGUGAAAGAAUGGGCAGCUGGUGCAGCAUGCUUCGCCACCGCCUUCGGAGUAAGCUGGCAGAGGACAAAAAGCUCCUUCUUCAGGAGAUACAGAAAUACAAUGAUCUUGUACUAGACUCUGCCACAAACAUCAUUGACCUAGCUUUGGUGGAGCAUUCCCUCACUGGAGAGAGCAGUGUGUCUCAGAUAUGGCCGUGCGACCUUAAUGGCAGUGCAAACAUUUCAGUCAAGAAACGAUUGCAUGACCAAGUGAUGUUGACAAUGUGACUGCAAGAGGAAAGGGGCAUUGUGGUGUUGGAGAUGGCACAAGACUACACAUGUGUGCAGAGCCUGGCAGUGGCUCUCAAGAACAAGAUGGCUGAGGAGGACAAGGGAAAUGAAGGACUUUGCUGUCUCUUAAGAAGAAGAUCGUCAGUGGUGUCAGAAGGGUUGCAAGUCGUCCUUCAACAAUACAAGACUGCAUAAGGUCUUGAGGCCUCUGUCCUUCUACAUGUUGAAGAAGAAGAUCAAAGUGACCUCAGCAGUCCAGAUACCAGCGAGGAUGAAAACAUAAUUUAGAUAGAAACUGCACAAAGGACUGCGUUUAAGGAAAUGGACUUGGCAUAUAUCUGUGUAGUGUUAGUAUGCUAACUACAUUAUUAUCUGUAUGCAUCCUAUAUUGUUGAAAUGUUCAACCUGUGUCUAGAUUAUCAAGCAUGUUAUUUAGGACGUUGAUGCUCCUUAAAUAUGCACAAACAUCUCAAUAUAGGUGUAACAAUCGUAUGAUAUUAUCAGAUGUAAUAAUUGAACUGAUGUUAUAUUUGGCUAGUGUAUUCAUAAUUUGUGUUUUUAAAGUUGCUAAUGGGCAUUGUUAGCCACAUCACAAACUCAAUGUUAAAACACUGCUUUUUGUGCUUUAUUGUGUUUAUGUACUUGCAUUGGUGCAGUAAUAUUGAUGUAAUGCAGUAAGGUCAUUGGUGUGUUUUACAAUGGCUUUGAACAGAGCUCAACCAAUCAGAAUAAUCAUUGAUAAUAAAGUAAAAGUUUUAUAACGGGUAAGUUGGUAUGAAAUAUUGUAAGCACAUUCAUCAGGAUGACUUUGCUGACCUUUUGACCUUUAUUACCACAUUUAGGCCAAACUGUGAAAACUCUACUUGAUUGAGUGUAUUAUAGGAUAUAACUGUUGUGCACCAUUGAAGAUAAACAUCAUAAAUUCUUUCUUAAAGAUGGAUAAUUUGUUGGCAAUGUGUCUGUCACUAUCAGUUCUGUUCUUAUAAGCACAUUGUACAUUAAGCACUAUAGUAUGCAAAAGAAAAAUACACUACAUUUAUAUUUUAUGAUUAUACUUAUAUUGUGUAUUACUACAUUUGAUAGAUAACUUUAUUCCCCUGUUCUGCUGGUUGUUUUCAAGUGAACUUAACAGUUUAGUGUUAUUAAAUUCAGCCUUAUGGCUUGAUUGACAAAUUUGCAUUUCAUGUAUUUUCACUGCUUUUAUUGUGAAAGACAAAAAAUAAAGUGUUUCUAAACAUGAA